GAUGAACGCUAGCGGCAGGCCUAAUACAUGCAAGUCGGACGGGAUUCAGGAGCUUGCUUCUGAUGAGAGUGGCGCACGGGUGCGUAACACGUAUGUAACCUACCUUUAUCAGGGGGAUAGCCUCUCGAAAGAGAGAUUAAGCCCGCAUAAAAUCACAGCACAGCAUUGUGUAAUGAUCAAAUAUUUAUAGGAUAAAGAUGGGCAUGCGGAACAUUAGCUAGAUGGCGGGGUAACGGCCCACCAUGGCGACGAUGUUUAGGGGAUCUGAGAGGAUGGCCCCCCACACUGGUACUGAGACACGGACCAGACUCCUACGGGAGGCAGCAGUAAGGAAUAUUGGUCAAUGGGCGGAAGCCUGAACCAGCCAUGCCGCGUGCAGGAAGACGGCCCUACGGGUUGUAAACUGCUUUUAUACGGGAAUAAACCCAGAUACGUGUAUCUGGCUGAAUGUACUGUAAGAAUAAGGAUUGGCUAACCCCGUG
RNAcentral lists this ribosomal RNA (482 nucleotides) under uncultured bacterium. RNAcentral describes it as "partial 16S ribosomal RNA". It matches the Rfam family "Bacterial small subunit ribosomal RNA", at positions 28 to 507 of the family's 1533-position model. The record is from RNAcentral.